UAGGCCCUUUGGGGGAGGCAAUUAUUUAUAGCUGAUGUGGAAAGCUGGUAUACCUCGAUUUACUGGGUAAACUGCAUUUAAAAUAGGAAGGUGUUCUUGCCACUCUGUUGGAAGGAAGACACUGAAUUAUCCCUGAAUUUGUGUUAAUGAAAUUAGGUUUUAUGUACAUUUUAACCCAUUCUUUUCAGGGUAUGUUUCCUGGAAGUAGAGGAAAUUUGAAGUUUGAUACCAUAGCUAAGAUUUCCUUUUCUACUUGAGAAUUUUUUUUUCUGUCAGAAGUAAUAGCCUUUAUGUAUUUUGUUUUAUGUUGAAGUCGAAAUGUCACUGUUUACAAUGUCUUCUUACAUGUCAUCUAUAAAAAUAAGACUAACUCCUUGCACCAACCAACUUUCAGUGGCUCUUUGUAAGUGUGUGUGUAGUACGAUGUUGAGAAUGCCUGUGGCAGCAGGUAGGUAAGUUUUAGACCUGCUUCUUCCUUUUUUUGCAGCUUGCUUCUCUGGAUCUAUGGUGACGGUUGCAUCUGUUGUAAUUGGUGCCUUUGAGACCCAGUCUUUUAUGUAACCUAGUCAUGUGUCCAGCUUAAAAUCCUCCUGUCUCAGCUUCUUUAGUGCUGCGAAUAACAGACAUGCGCCAUUAUCCCCAACUAGUCAGCAAAAGUCUUCAGUUUCUUAUAAUUAGAUGGAUCUCUCUGUACCUGUCCUAUAGAGACACUGAGGAGGCCAGUUGCUGCCUGUCUUUCUACGUGUAUAUAGACCAGCACUUUCCAAUGUCAGUGCACCUGAGUACAGUCCUGGAGUUGUUACAGUGUGGAGUCUGCCUGGAGAGGACCCGAGACUCCGGAUUUCUUUGGUUCCAGCUACAGCAGGUUCUGUAGUUUUCAGGACCAUACGUUGGGUCCCCCCAAACCUUUGGCUUUUAGAAAUAUCAUUUAGAUAUGAUUAUGAUUUCAGAGGAGGUCAGUGUCUUUAAAGAUGUUUGGGAAAGCUGCCUAAAUUCCCGGGUGAAAGGGGGUUGAAGAUAGGUCACUCUUGCGUCUGUGAGAGAUUAACUAAUUUGCUCAAUUAUGUUCUGCUUCCUUCCUGCUCGUGCACUCAGUCAAGACAUUUUUCAUCUCAUGGUAUGAGUUUGAGUUCCUCUUUGAAAUUUGAAAAGGCAGAGCCCGUGAGGCUUAGGAGAUGGUCUCCAUUGAAACGUCCAUCACCAACCACCUACAACAGCAUCUUUGUAACAAACUCUAGAUUCAGAUAUCAGAAUCUAAUUUUGAAAGAUACACAUUGCCUUGAUGCAGUAGAUCUGGUCCUGAUGCUGUUUGGCGAGUCCAGGGACUCUAAGCAUUUAGGAGGCCAGAAAGAGCUUUGCUGGCAUAACUCUGGCAUGUUAGAAUCCUGAGAUUUUCCUUCUAGAAGAAUAAUUUCAUUAGAGUUGCUGAUACAGGCUUCUAUAGAAAACCUGGAGAGAACUGUUCUUAGUGUGGACAGGUGUGUGUGUGUGUGUGUGUGUGUGUGUCAGGGUGGUCAGACAUUUCUCAGGAGGAUGCACAGGCUACCGCUGUGUCUGAAAGGAAUCCAAUACUCUCAGUUCUGGAAGGCCCCCGACUAGUGAACUGAACUUGUACUAUUCAGACAGAGAAAAGAGGGAAAGGUAACGCUCAUCAGAGAAUAGUCUUCACCACUCAGGAGUUUUAAUCUGAGCUAUCAUAUAGAGCAAAGCUAGUGGGAGACUAAUAGCAUUCAGUAACCUUGUCUUCAAAAUGAAGACAUAUUAUAUGCAAAUAAAGCAAGUGAGACUCCAAGGUUAAUGUUGAUGUUCCCUCAGUUACGCUGAGCUUAUGACUUAAGGAGGUCUUGAUGCCCAAACUCGGUUUCUAGAGCCAAAAUGCAUUUUAAGGAAAUGUAGCUUUCACUGCAUAGAAACUUUAUAGACUUUACUAAUGCAGCAGAACAUACAAACAGUUGAGAUUAUGAAAAGUAGAAGGGUGUGGGGUGAGGGUUCUUACAGUAAUAUGAAAUUUUCCAUCUGGUGUAGAGACAGGGCUCAGUGGUGUGCUCCUUGUGUACUAUGCACCAUUCAAAUGAAAAUAAAAUGUAUCAGGACUUUGGUUUUAAACGAUUAUAUUUAAUUUAGUCCACUCUAGCUUUCAGGCAUCUUAAAAGAUUUUUGGAGUGGCUCAAAUAGAAUCCUUUAAAAGAAGCUAUUCGAAAAUGAGCUAGAUUUUCCUCUUAGUUCCAUGUCAUUAUUGAGUAUUAUAGGGUAUUGGCAACAAAUAUUGGAUCAAGAAAAAAAGAGUCUUAGACUUGCAAAUGCCACUUUACCACUUAAGGACUUGAGCCUUCUUGCUCUUAUAAACUCGGUACUUUAAUUGACCAGGAAGUGAAAAUAAUAACUUUACGUGGAUCGGGGAUCAAAUUCAGUGGAAUCAGGGAUGUUCUCUGUGGCUUUUGAAAACUGCAUCCUUAUGAAUUUAGAUGGAGCGUGUGUUGAAGCAGGAGGUGGGAUGAUUCAGAUGAUCACUGCCAUUGAUGUAUCUUGUCCCCAACGGUUUUCACUUGCAUCCUAUAGCUGCCGUCUUAGGGUUUUACUGCUGUGAACAGACACCGUGACCAAGGCAACUCUUAGAAGGACAACAUUUAAUUGGGGCUGGCUUACCGGUUCAGAGGUUCAGUCCAUUAUCAUCAAGGCAGGAGCACUGCAGCAUCCAGACAGGCAUGGUGCAGGAGCUGAGAGUUCUACAUCUUCAUCUGAAGGCUGCUAGGAGAAGACUGACUUCCAGACAGCCAGGAUGAGGGUCUUAAAGCCCACACCCAUGGUGACACACUCCAACAGGACCACACCUAUUCCAAGAGGGUCACCCCUCCUAAUUUUGCCACUCUCUGGGUGUAUAAAAACCAUCACAGCUGACCUCUUGCUGCCGAAGCUUUCGUGGCACAUCUUCUGUGCUCCCGAAUCCCAUUCCUCAUCUGUCUACUCUUGUGGCCAGAAUCCCCAGGAUCUCACAUCGGCAGUUGUCUCAGCUUCUGUCUCUUUCCUCUGGCUCAUGCACUGUUCUUGGUCUCUGUGAAGCAAGAGACUCCUUUGAAGCAAGGAGUCUAUGCUGCUGAGUCUAUGGGAUGUCUUGCUUCUGUAGGGGAAAGUGACUGAGUAUAAUGACUUAGAUACAAAGAUCCUUUCCCAUUUCAGUCCUCCUUGGCAGGACGACUGUCCCGCAGCACUAAUGGGCUUCUGGAUUGGCAUUCCCUUCCCUUUUGGUGUACAUAUGUGUUUGUAGCAGUUCUGAUGAGAAAAGAUGUACGACUCGUGUGUCGAGUAAGGUGGCAUUUUCUGCGCCGAUGUGUUUGUGUUUGUUUAUUGGUGGAUAAUUUCAUGUGAGUAUGUUGAACGAACGUGCAGGGUGGCACCGUGUCAUAGCCAAGCCACGAAGCAUGUGUUUAUAUCCAUGAAGUACAUCCCUCUGUCAGAGCUCAAGACAGAAGAGUAAAAGCUAUUGAGAUUUUUGAUAUCAGGAAACCAAAAGUUCUGAUCCCAGAAGUAUCGUUGUUGAGUGUUGUAAUUUCAAUUAUGAAACAAAACUCCCAGUUCUGUGCAACAGUAACAGCCACCACACAGAGUUCUUGGGUGAAGUCAAUGAGAUCUAUUUUGCCAAGAGACUUGGACAAAUCGUGGAUUAUGAGAUUACUUAUGAAAUAUUCCUGUCAAUCAAGAAUUCUCAUUAAUUGCAUUGCUAAUAGCUUAACACACUUGAUAAUAUCCGAAUGAACUGCAGAAGAUUCAGUGAGUCUUUUUUUUUUUUUUUUUUAAAAGAAGUCAAUGGGCAGCCAGUUGUGCUGCACAACUGUAAUUUUCACAUGUGGAAAGCUGGUGAAGGAAGACUGGGAAUUCACAGCCAGCCUGUGUUACAGAGCAAGAACACCUCAAACUCAAAUUUAUUUCGAGUCGAUAAGUUAACUUCAUAUUUCCAUGAUAAUCGAUAAAGUCCAAUGAGAUAAACUGCAUAAAAUUUUAUAAAAAUAUACUCUAAGGAUUUAUUUUACUUUGAAUUACUUGCGUGCAGGUAUGUGCACGAGGGCGUAGGUGCCCAUGGAGGAGAGAGCGUGAACACCCCUGGAAGAGUUAUAGGCGGUUGAGAUCUGUUGGGAGCGGUCGCUAGCCACCAAACACAGCCUCUCUGCAAGCAUCGUUUGCCAUAACCAGUGAGGCGUUGGUCUAAGCCUGUGAAAUUGAAUUUUGCCAUUGGCUUUUAAACUGGGAAAAGCGAUGUAGGAGCUACACCAUUAGAGACACCGGUAGCUCUUUAUGCAUGCACAGGACUGCAGAUUUGACCAGUGUGUGGUUUAAUUAAUCACACUAAUUAAAAAUCAAUGUGCGAUCACUAGACAUCUUUCACGUCCUUUAACAUAAUUGGCUCCCUCUUCAAUUGGCUACUAUGGUCUGUAGGAAGUUAUGGAGAACUGUGAUCCCUUUAGCAUCUUAUAGGGAUGUUUGUGCCCCCACGAUGUCGAGCUUCUACAAUUACCGAAAACACAGACCUAUUUUCAGUUGUAUUGGGAAUGGUGAUAAACGGUGGGUCCAAUGGUGGUUUUCUAUCCCCUUUGGCUUUCGGUGAGGAGGACUGAAUGAAUGCAAAGCUGUGUUUGAAACUUGCUGUCUGUUUUUUUUUUUUUUUUUUUUUGCUAGUUUCCACCCUCAUUGAGAGUUACAACUUACUUGCGCACAUCUGUUUGCAAAUAGUUUCUACAUCUACGAAUUGGAAUUGAUCUCUCUAGCAGUCUAAAGCCAUGUGUACCUGUUUGCUUAACACUUUUCUUUUUUUUUUUUUUUACUAAGAGACCUUGUUACUGCGAAACACAAACACACAAACAUCUCUUGCUUUCUUCUCUCCUUCCUACCUCCCUGGAGGACAGAAAAGAUUCCCCUCCCCUCCCAAGUUCAGGUAUGCUAGGCAUGUUGUAAAUGACAAGGUGCUGCUCUGCCAAAUUAGGAUAGCCUUUCCCUUUAAAUUCUGGGUGUGGCUUUCAGACGCUGGCUUCCAUUUGAGCUUAAGCUAAACCACCUUUCUUUCAGCACAAUGGUUUUGAGCUCACCUGUCUAAGAAAUGUUUAUUUAUUGGUAAUUGCAUUGGGGCAUUUAAUAUUUCGAGUUAAAAAUGUUGUCCUUACUGCACACAUGUAGUACUAAAUAAGGCACUUUAUUUUAAUUUUAUUAUUUAAUUAAAGCCCCUCCCCCCUCUGUGUAGUGUGCAUGUGUGUGUCUUCGUGGGCACAUAUGGGCUAUGGUAUGUGUGUGGGGGUGGGAGGACAGCUUGUGGGCAUUGCUUCUCUCCACCACGUGGUUCCCAGGGAUCGAAUUGGGGGCCUCGGGUAUGGCAAUAAGUGCCCCCACUCCUGAGCAAUCUUGCAAACCCUCUUCCCACAUCAACUCAGUCCACAUCAACAGUGGAUGCUUCAGUCGUAAUCUCAUUCACAUUUUGGGUGUUACGUUACUCUCAGCUGCAAUGUUUGCUUUGUUCCCGUUGACGCCUAAAUUGUAACAGCAAGCGGCAAGCUUCUAGAAAAGAGAGCAGUUUGGGUUCUUUUGGCCAGAAGCCUGGUUCUCUCUAGUGCACAUCUGUUCUCUGAAGCAUUGUGAGAAUGUUCAGGUGAAAACUUACCUGUGUUUUAAUGAGGCAGAUUCUGGUGGCUUGAAAAUUAGUCAGACUGUUGUUAUUAAGGCCCAACUUCAGUGACUGGUAAAGUGACUCUCAGUUCUGUGGAAUUAGCUUAAACUGAGGUGACCAACCAGCAAUUCAAGACCUUAGUAAACAGGCUCCUGCAGUUGAUUUUGAGAACUAAACAAAGAAUGGUGGCCUAUUUCUCCAGGGGUUGCGUGGGAUGGGAAGGUGUGGUUACUUACAGUGAGUAGAAGGUCAAAAAUAGAAUUCCCACGAAUGAAUUUCUGCAGAAUGGAGUGUCGGUGGCAUGCGGACCCUGUCACUUCCUGAUCAGGAUACCCUAUUUAGCACUUAUGAAACAGAGGGGAGGUGGUCCUGUGUAAUUGGGGCGGGCUUUUCCUUUGUUAGAUCCAAGAUAGGGAGUGUGAGGGAAGAUGGGGAACUUGGAUUGACACCUUUGUGAAUUGGAACCAGACGGUAAAUACGUAUCUUAAGGUGAAAUCACAGCUCUUUGUUAGCUCCGUAAUCCUCUGAUGUAUAUUCCAGCACAUGUUGGAUUGUGGGAUAUUGUCAUUAGAGAAAUGAUACCGUGUAUUUUUCCCCUUUCCCUGUGUAUACUAUAUAUAUUUCAAACAAAGUAACAGGUUUCCUAAUGGCACAUUUAUACGUGUUAACUUGUUUGAUCCACCCUGCUCUCACCUUCCUCUAAACUCCCUGUUCUCCCACCUUGUCCUGCUGCACUCUUCUUUCACAUUACAUGUUUCUAUAAUCACACACCUUUCAUAUUGCAUGUUCUAUCACCAAACACCUUGCCUCCCUUUUCAAGAAAAAAAGAACUCAGUUUCAUUUUAUAUGUCUGAUUGCCUCCAUAUAUGUAUACGCGCCAUGCACAUGCUUGGUGCCCGAGGGCCAUAUACCUGGAGCUGGAGUUGCAGGCUGCUGUGAGCUUCCACCUGGAGGCUGGGGGCCAAAGCUGGAUCCUUUUUGUUUUAAUUUUUCUUUUAUUGGCUUUCUAAAAUUUACAUUUUAAAUGUUAUCCCCUUUCCCAGCCUCCUGCAGCCCCCCAUCCCAUCCCCCUCCCCCUGCUUCCAUGAGGAUGCUCCCCUAUCCACACACCAAAUCCUCUUGCCUCCCCACUCUGGCAUUCCCCUAGAUGAGGGCAUCCAACCUUCACAGGACCAAGGGCCUCUCCUCCCAUUGAUGCCCGACAAGGCUACAUAUGCUGCUGGAGCCAUGGGUACCCCCAUGUGUACUCUUUAGUUGGUGGCUUAGUCCCUGGGAGCUCUGGGGGCCUGGUUGGUUGCUAUUGUUGUUCUUCCUAUGAGGUUACAAACCCCUUCAGUGCCUUCAGUUCUUUCUCUAACUCCUCCAUUGGGGGCGCCGUUCUCAGUCCAAUGAUUGGCUAUGAGCAUCGGCCUCUGUAUUUGUCAGGCUCUGACAGAGCCUCUCAGGAGACAACUCUAUCAGGCUCCUGUCAGCGUGCAUCUCUUGGUAUCUGCAAUAGUGUCUGGGGUUAGUGACUGCAUGUGGGAUGGAUCCUUUGUAAGAAUGACAAAUGCUAUUACUUAUUAUUCAAUGGUCUCUAGGAUCCUGACCUCGCUUCCUUAAAGCCUUCUUUUUCUCUCUGGUGCCAGCUGUUUUGGUCUUACCAUGCUGGGUUAUUGGUUUAAAGGUUAGCGUCGUAACUAUCCAUUUCUUCAGCCUUGUGUACUUGGAAUUUGAGUUCCGAGAACAAAUUAGUUAAUUUCGUGUGUGCGGGAGGGAAGUUUACUUCUCAGUUAGUAGCCCAAGACUAAACUGAAUGCUAAAUCAAAUAGUUUGCUCAUACACAGCACAUUUAGGAUGAUAUCUAAAAGUCAAAAGUAAUUUAAAUAACAGUCUUAGAUUUAUAUUUUAAUGUCUGUUUUUCUGUUGGCAUUUUAUAAAAACUGGUCCAAUCACUUUGAAAGUAUAUGUUAAAAUAGAAUACUUUGCACACAUCUUACAUAUUUUGAGAAAUUUUUUUUGGUGUGUAUACUUUUAAGUUGUGUGUGUGUGUGUGUGUGUGUGUGUGUGUGUGUGUGUCUGUGUCUGUGUCUGUGUCUGUGUCUGUGUGAGAGAAAAACAAUAUUUUUUUCUCGGAGUAGAGUGAAAUUGGUAGAAACUAUUAAGGCUAUCUCUGUAAUUUUUUUAAAACUAUACCUAUCAGAAUGGUAGUUUAUCCAAAUUUUUAGUCAGUGGAAAUGACUCAAUGUUUUUGUUGCUGUUUCGUUGUUUGUUUUUGUUCUUUGCUUUUUUGGUAAAGAAUUAUUGUCCAUAGUUCACUGGGACCCCUCCACUUAUUUCUGUCCUCGGGCAAUACUGGUGUCAGGAAAAGAUGAAUGGAAAUUAAGUGACAGAAAUGAUAAGGAGAUAGCCAUCUGUAUAUAAACGCUACUGUUGGCUUACCAAUUUGGUGUCUGACUGUUGCGUUCUGUAGAGCGAGUCCUCAAGGCAGGACCAGAUGAAGCAGUUGUUAUAGCAAUAGAUGGAGCAGCAAGGAUGCAUUUAUCAUUUUAAGUGGUUUGAUUUUGCAGAUGAUAGUGGAAAAAAUAUGGUAAUCCUAUUCAAAGUUGGGGAGAGAUGUUUGAUUUUCUGUUUAUUUGUAAUUCAAGAAAUCAGCAUAAAUAGGCACUGGCCUUUGAUUUCUCUGUUAAAUCAUCCUUAUUUAAAAUCUCCUUGGCACCCGAGAAAGCAGCAGUGCGGGGUACUUUCCAUUCAUGUCACUCCUUGAUCCUAGAACAAGGGACCAUCUAAUUUAUACUGAAUAAUCUGGUGGGAAGAAAACAAAGUAGACAAUCUAAGAUGGUCAGGCUUAUGAUUCUAUAGUGAGUCUAUGUCAGAGGAUAUUUGACCCUUCCUGGAGGGAGAGGCCACUUGUGACAGGCUUCUGUUUAGACUGAUUCUUGAAGAAGAAUAAACUUAAUAACGCUGAGAGUAAAGGGGGAAUAUUUGGAAGAGGCUGUUCUAGAGUGUGGCAUGCAUCUGCCAGAGAGCAUGAUGCUAGGGGUUGGGGGACAGAGGGGAUCUCUUGGUAGGUUCAUAUGAGCAAGGUCACCUAGGGUCUUAUAGUCUGUACUGAAAUUUGAAAGAUUUGUCGGCAGUGAGAUUAAAAAAAUCUGAAACAGAUAGAUUAGAAAUUUACCUGUUGGAGGAUUCUAUUGACUACAUGGUAUUCUAUUGGACGUUUUGUAUUCCCUAAUGGUGAUAAACAUUAAAACAAGGUGGAAAGAGGGGUGGAAAAGAAAGUUAGCAACCAUUAAAAAUGGACAGUUGGGAGAAAAUUCCACUUCCCUUAGCUCUCCAUCUUGGACAACUGGAUAGAACAGGAAACACUUGGGGAAUGCUGUUUUUGGUUAGGGAGGUGGAAGCACAGGACUCCUUUCCUUCCUAAGGGGAGAGCUGAGAUGGGAGACAUAAAUAUUCUGUAAGUGCUUUGGAGCUUAACAUGUUUGUACUGCACCCAGACUUUGUCAGUCCACCUUCAUUUUGGCAAGCGUGCUUGCUGGAGGCUGGGAGGAGCAAGAACAGGGCCCAGGAUGUUUUUCACUAUGUACUCAUGUAUCAGAAAGUAUAAGGCAGCACUUAGAAGUGUUUGCUUUGUUUUAGAUAAGGUCUUUGUGCACAGUACAGGCUGGCAUCAAACCCUCUGUGUAGUUCAGGCUGGUCUCAAACUCCCGCCCAGGUCUCUUGCUCCUAUCUUAGGGUUGCUGGGUCUACAGCUGUUCACCACUAUACCCUGCCAGUUUUUAACCCAUCCAUGCCUCCCCUCCGUCCUCUUGGCUGCUAGGGAUUGAACUCUUGUCCUUGCAAAUGCUGGGCAAAUGCUCUGCCCCUGAACUACCUUCUGAGGCCUCUUACAAGGUCACUGAUCACAUUAAGGAGGGAUCUAUCACAUUUCGAAGGCCCUUCAUGCAGCCAGCACCAUGGACAUUAGGAUUUAACAGUAAUUGGAGAGGGGAUGUAACCAUUCAUUGUGCAGCAUUGCUAUAUAAGCCCAGUUCAGGACCAUUGGUGUCCUCUGAGCAGAGGCCUCUAAGCAGUCCUGAGGACUUCACUCCUUUCUGUAUCCUAAUCUAGGAAGUGUAGUCAUUGUGGUGACAACUGAAACUUUAUAACUAGUUCUCUGAGAAGUAUCCAUCAUCUAUGAGACACUGUUGUUUGCAGGGAGUGAUGGGUAUGGGUAUCUCUCUAAUCUUGCCUUGUAAUGCCUCUACCUACCUCUUUGUAGUCUGGCAUAAAAGAAUGGAGAGUUGAGGCAAGUUGCCUUAUCUGAAAAGAUGUUGAAAAGACUUGUCACGGGCAAUAGUGACUUUGACAGAAAGAAGGGCUAUGUAUUCUUGGGAGAAGACCACUUGGGCUCAGGAAAUUCAUCAUCCUUGACAUUACUAGGAACACUUAGGGGCCAGCUAGGACACAGAUGUCCUCUUCAGGAUCCUGUAGCAGGACUCAGCUAUGAGGUACCCAUGUGAACCAGAGUAUGUGUAUUGGUAUAUAGGUGUGCAUUUUGGAUUAUAAUCUAAAUUGGGGUGAGUGCCCUGUGAGCCAAAUCUACCCUGUCAUUCCCCUGAAAACAACCUUUCUCGUCCUUCAUUUAUGUAUUAACUGUGGCUUCCUUCUGUGAUGGCGGAGUUUAGUAGUUGCAACAGAAACGUUGGGACUUAGGACAAGUAAAAUAUUUACUAUCUGACACUUGAUGGAAAAGACUGCUUUUAAUGGAAAUAUUCUGAAAACUCACUCUGAACAGAACCGAGUGACACUGUCCAAUGACCCCAUGCUCAAAUGUUCCGAUGAGAGCACAUCCGGUCCCCUUAACCAUUCCUGUCUAGCUGAGAAAACAGGUUAGUGACAAUUCUUAGGAAUUGAAGUUCAAGGUCAGAUAUAAAAUGUACCAACUUCUCUUCCCCUCACUCUCUGAAAACCGUUACAGAAUUUAUUGAUUAUGGUGCCUGAGAGACCAGGAUAGCAGCGGGUGAGUGAAUGUCUGCAAGGUUUCCAUCCACCCUACUGUGGUCAUUGCAGUUUUGUCUCUGUGAAUGCUGUAUUCAGGUGCAUUUGGGGGCGUGGUUUUCAUGCGACUGUAGGUCUUUGCAUAUUGGUUUCCUCAGCUUGUCAGUGGUCCUGGUCCUUAGUCCAGGACUACAGGAAAUACCCCCUGUUGCCUCCAGCAGUCCCCACAGCCUCUAGGAUGCUUGCAUGGCUGUUGGUUAGUGUCCCCUUCCCCCAGCAAGGCUGCCUUUCCAAGCAGUUGCUUCUCAGCUGUCUUCUGCUUUGUUCAAUUGUUCUGGGCUGCUUUUCAGUGUGUUCUCCAAGUGUCCUGCUUGACCUCCCUGUGGGCAUCUCCCUUGUCUUGCUUUUGCUUUGCUCUGAGCAGCUCUUUCGUAUUCUCCUGCUGUUCACUCUCUCUUACGUGGUCAGUCCAUUGGCCUGAUUCUCUCUGACUGAGGUUUGGACACUUACAAAGUGACUCUGCAUCACUGCUUGGUUUACAGCCUCCUUGGUGCCUUUUCUUUUUUGGUUACCUGAGAAGCCCCCUUGAAGAAACUCAAUAAUAUGAUCUAAUGAGCACUUUCCCCAAACCCUCACCUUGGCAGGGGAAAUGGCCAUACUUUCUUUUGUUCUGACCUGUACUGGAACCUUCCAUACUCUCCGAAUGCCCCCUCCUUUGUCACAUGGCCACAGUUUGCGUAUGAUUGUCCUCAAGUAGAGAGUCAACAUCAGACAAGACUCAUAUCUGAUUCUUGUGUUUUUCCAGGAGUGUUGUUAACUUCCAUAGCUAGAAAUAGAAGGUUUGAGAAACAGCAGCAGCUGGCCUUGUAAAAUCCAUAGCUCAAAUGUAGGUUUGCAGAUAAAACGUGGGUUAAUGCUCACAGACUGGAAAAUGCUUCCAGAGAUCAGAUCUUCAAUGUUGAGUCUCAAAAGUAGAUGAUUCUUAAAUAUAUAUAUAGGCCGAAAUUGUAAGACCCGAUGAGGAAAUGCAGUGCACUUAGGUAAUGACUACUGCUUUACAAUGAAACUACCCCAAAGCCUCAUUGGCUCAAUUUUUUUUAAUGAGAGUUCAUUAAAAAUCUUAAUAAGAUAUAGUGAACAAUUUUCAUAAAAGCAUCUAGAGUUAAGCAGCAAGGUUAUGAUUUAGAGGCAGCGAAUUCAAUCGGAAAUAUUAAUCUAGAGGAGACAUGUUAUAAACCAAAAUAUAUCAUGAUAUGUAUUUAAAGGGCACCAUACUAUUUUCAGUUUGUGAUAGUUCAACCCUGGCGUUAAAUUUUCUGAGCAGAUAACGUAAUAUUUACAAGCGUUUAUAAGCAGUUCUGUACUCGCCACAGUCAAAGGGAAAAAAGUUGAUGCAUGAGUCCCACAGAGGCCGUAAACUUGGUUCUGGUUUUGUGAGGCCUGUUGUAAUUCUCCAGUCCUCAGUUUGCCAGGAGUGAGAUGUUGCUUUUGCUAGAAGCCAGUGCUGUGAAUGUCUCCAGGAAGCACUUAUAUUAUGGAAGCCUUGGAGGCACUUUGAUAUCAGCAAGCUACUUUAUGGGAGCAAUAGGAAAGUGUGCCCUGUUGAAAUGGUGUCCAUAAACCCAAUGUUUAUAUUGCAGUCAUGCAGCUGGUUCAUAGGUUUUGCUUGGUACUCUUGGUUUUAUGUGAUAAGUUGAGAAAGAGUUCUCGUCACCAGGGAAUUCAUGUCUGAACUUAAAAAUGCCGUGGGCUUUCUAAUCAUAGUGACCCGUUUGAGUUAUUGUCAGCAAAACAUGCCUUCCAGCACAGGUUCAGGAUACCUGACCGUCCCUCCGUUAGGUACUCGGGUUUUGAUCUUGAAGUCAUACUCCGUCUCUUCAGCUUAGUUCAGGAUGAGUGCAGUACACAGCCGUGGACUUGGGUUGCUUCCUCUCCGAGAUGUUGGUUCCUCUUUUUGGUAGUCCAGCGGAUCUAUAUGUAGUCAUUUCUAGUUUUUAGGUUUUGUCUGAAUCAGGAUUCGAAUGAAUGAUAAUAACUGAGAGUGAGCAUGAUGUAUUAAAAAAAUUCAUUAACAAGAAAAAAGUCAUAUGUUGUAAUUUUCCAGAGAUGAAGAAGAUGAGAAAAAUAAAACAUGAGGACAAAAUUGAUGGCUUUUGUCUCCUGGCCUCUGAUAUUUGAGGGUUAUGAGUUUUCCAAGACCAAGUAGGGUCAGACUUUGAGUAUCAUGGAAAGGACAAGUUUAGACCCACAAAAGUUUUAGAGGUUGAUGAAGCUUUGUGGAAAUACAAUCUAUAAUAUUGAAAAGAUCCGUAAAAAUAUUUCUAUGCAAACUGGAGUUCUAUUAUGUCUUACUUCUUACUGUUGUACAGAAAAUAUCAUUUUAAAAUUCUUUUCCUAUUUUACUUUCAUUAGGUCUCUUAACCAAAUAAGGCAAUCUUCAUUCCUCUUUAUGGUUAAGGAAACGAGAUUCUGCGAGGUUAUACAAUUAUUCCUAACAUCACUGAACCAAGAGUGAACCCAGGGCUGUGUGUCUGUGGAGCUAAGGCUCUUGACAUCACCCUAUGACAGCAUGGGAUGGAGGAGCUUUUAGGAUAUUUGGGCUGUAAUACUCUUUUCUCCCAUGUCGUAACUAUGUGGGCUCGUGCAUUUAUUCCAGCAAGUAUUCAUUUAGUAUAGCCCAGCUUGUUUCUGCAGGGUACGCAGAAAUGAAUCUGAGUGAAUUCUUGCUUUCAAAGCAGCUUUUCUGUGUCACAGAUCCCUUUGGCCAUCUGGUGAAAUCUGAGCGUCUACCCUAGGAAAAAUGUUUUAAAUGCACGAAACAAAACACAUAGAAAUAAAUAUAUUGGAAGACAUUUAUCAAAUGGUUGAACUCAAAUACCCUCUAUAGUACUCUGUCUUCAUUAAGUUAUGUAAAAGCAGAAUAAAGUGCCAGGUCCAUUAGCAGGUAUUGUAUUGAAGGAUGCGUAAGGAUAAGUAAUGUUUUUGUUAGCACUACAGCACUUGUCUUGGGAUGGAAGCCUCUGUGUUCUUCUAGCUGGUGGAGGAGUCUUUGCUCUGGUUUUGUUUGUUGUGGUUUGCAGUUGAAGACAAUGUUCACUAACAAAAAGAAGAUAUUCCUUUCCUUCCUGUGCAAGUGCCUUGGAUCUUGAAUUCCUUGAAUUUUAGUGGAAACCAGGCUGAGGACCCCUGGGAAAACUGAGAAUGCAUUUAUUAAAAGGCAAUGCAAAAACAUUGGGUUAUCUUGAACAUGCCAGUAGAUUUCUUGGGCUCUCACUGCUGUAACUUUGAAAAGUUUGAUUGAGGUCAGUAGACAUCUGAGAAAGGUACAGAAAGGUCAGGAGCUACCAUCAAUUUUAUAGAACCUCAAAGCCUAGAGUCACUUGGUCUAAGAUUACCCAGGCUGGAUGCUGGGAUUUUGUUUGUUUUUUUGUUGAGUUUGAGUAGCUUGGUAUUAAUGCAAGAGUCUUUGCCUUUGAAUUUGUUACAGGGGUCAGAAAGUAUCACUGUGAGCCUUGGGUUUUGUGAAUGUUAAAAAAAAAAAACCAAAAAACAAAAAACAAAAACAAAAAAAAGGUUGUGAAAAUAAAAAGUUUGUCCAAGAAACUGUUUGAAAGCCUGGUGUUGGCUUGAGUGGAGUUUCCAGUAAAUAUCCCUGAUGGGUUUGUGGAGAAAAUGUUGGAAGCUGCUGAUUUGGUUAUUGGUUAUUUCUUCUUCACCUUAAUUGUUUGUGUUAAAUGGUCCUGAUGUUUAGAGUGCAUUAAAUGGGUUAUCGUUUCCCCCUGGUUUUGAAUGAAAUACAAGAACAAAAUGAAUAUAGAUGGAAAACCUGAAAAGCCGCACGUGACUGAUUAUUACUGAGUGUGGAAGGAGUUCCGAAGAGGAAAUGACGCCUUGUCUCCAGCUGACGACAGAGAGACUAUCUCACUCCACUGCAGACCUAGAAUCAGUAGAGAUGCUGCUUUGGGAUGAGGAUAAUAGAGUGAAACCUUUGUGCCUGCUAGGGAUGUAGCUCAGGGGUAGAGCACGGUGAUAGCUUGUCCAGUGCCUAGGCUUAAUCCUUAGCGUUACAAAACCAAGCCAAAGAAAUCAUACCCAGUGACUGUCACACACAAAGGAAACAGAAGGGUUCACAGUUUUAUUAAAACUGAAUCCCAGAAGAAAGUCUCUUCACCGACGCUUGAAUUCCCACCUUCCUCUGUGUUCUGUCAUCCUUUAUCCUCAAACAGACCUCUGUCUGCCUCUCUUCCUUGUCUGUGUCUCAUUUCUUUUCCUUCUGUUCAACUCUUUCUCCCUCCUCUAGUUUCUACUCUAUUCUUUCUUCCCGUCCUCACUCUUCUACCACCCACAGCUGAUGCUGAGGUUAGUUUCUGGGUAGGAGUGGGAUCUAGAGGAGCCACUGUUGAUGGCACUUUGAGGCAUGUUUUUGUACAUUAUCUCAGUCUGCUUAAAUGGUGAAGAGAUGCCCACCUUAGAUGGUCCAGGACAUUUCAUGAUCGGAGCGACACUUGUGCUAAGACCUGGAAAGGGUUAAGGCAGCCAUAGCCAUCUUGGGAAGAAGAUUUAGGAAAUUGCAAGUUAUUCAAGAUCACCAGAGAGAAGGGUAUGUUUUAGGCAGUAGUCAGUGGUAGAAAUAUACAGAAGUAGGCAGAAAUCAGUUUGUGCCAAGAGCCCAGGAGCUAAACUGAGAGUUACAAGGAACUCUUAAAGGAGAGCUAGAUGAAGGGGCUUAAGCUUUUGGCUUUACACUUAUAUAAGUGUAAGACUGCUUUGCCUGCCUGUGUGUAUGCGUGGCAGCCAUGUGCUCGCAUGCAGUGCCCGAGGAGGCCAGAAAAGGCUAUCACAUGUGAGCUCUGCCAUGUAGGUGCUGGGAAUUGUACCCGGGUCUUUUGCAAGAAUAGCUUGCACUCUAAACCUCUUUAUGCAAACAUGGUAAGGGAGUAGUGUAGAGAGGGCAGAUAGAUAGCUCAUUUGGGGAUGUGUCCUCCUUGAAACUGUUGACACAAAAGCCAUAGUCGAGUUACAAACAUACGGGCAGGCAGGCAACGCUGUGUGCCUGAUGUUUUCACUGCAUUUAAGCAGAGUCUGUGACAGCACCGUGUUGCCUUGCUUCCGAUGUCCACUGCCUUUCUUGCAAUGCCUUGAGACGGUUCUGUACUUGGAGGAGACAGGAGAAUAGAGAAGAGGUAAUACUCACUAGCCUUACAGAAUUGGAGUAAAACUUGACAUUCACAGCGUCCCAGCGGGGCAGAGGCUGAUAGGAUGGUUGAGUCCACUGGGAUGUUUGCCGCAAUGUGGAGUUUCUUACCUUUGCCCUGUGUGCCCACCCCACUGAAGCACUUGCAGCUGCUCAGCAGUGAAAUUCUUCAUCGCGGUGCGAGCCAGCUUACCAGACAGAUGUCCUUUGUGUUUGCUGAUAUUACUUGUGGGAGUAACAGUCAAGGGAUAAUUUGUGUAUCGUGUACUCUGAGAGACUCAUCUUAGACGUCUAAAUCGAACAAAUGAAGAGAGGCCCUUUAAAACACUGGAAACCUUCAGAGAACGAGAGGCAGGAAACGAACUGCACAGAACACUUGAAAAAAAAAAUCUUCCAAGUACCCCUGCUAAUUAUCUAGAGGACAUUCACCCAGGAGAUUAACUGUCAACAUGUCAGCCAUUUUGCUGGGUUUAAAAUCAUAAAUUACCUUCUCAGUUUUUAUCUUAUCCUAAAUUGUCUAUUAUUAAGAGGGAGAAAACAAUACAAAACUAAACAAACAGGAAAAGAACAACAGAAAGAGUACCUAAAAAAUUAAGACACUGCUACCUUCAUAUUCCAUAUUUACUUCCGUUUUUCUUCCUUGCUCUGUGUGUGUGCGUGUGUGUGUGUGUGUGUGUGUGUGUGUGUGUGCGCGCGCGUGCGCGUGUGUGCGCGCACACGCCUAUACCUGUGCGGCACAUGCAUUGUUUGUGCACUUUUGUGAUAAUGUGCACUCCUCCGUGCACAUGAGUAUGGAGACCAGAGGUGGACUUCUUGCUCUGUCCCUCACCAGACGGAACCUGGAGAGCUUGCUUUUAGCAUCUGACUGGAGCCAAUCCAAGAUGCUCGCUGCCUCCCUUGGUACCUAGUUUAUAGGCAUGUGCUGCUAUGUCUGGCCUCUAGAUGAGCGCUAUGGAUCCAAACUCAAGUACUUGUGUGUACGGCAAACACAUUAUGCCCCGAGCCAUCUCCCCAGGCCCUCCAUCUUUCUUAAUUAAAAAAAAAAAGUUGUUUUUGUAGGAUUUGGAAAAGCGGGCUCAUAGUCCUGUCUGCAUGGAGCCAGUUAGCAGGAGCUAAAGUAGCUGUCCCUUCAGUGCCAGAUUCAUAGAUGGAGGCAACUUAAAGGACACAGAAAUUAGUUGGCAUUGCCCAAGGAUGCACACAGUUAUUGUUGAGUGCGAUAUCCUAUUUCAUUUAAUCCAAUUAUGGAAAACGCGAGACAGUGGCCUUCAUGUUCUUCUGGGCCGCGUGGUGUUAUGCAUUGCAAAACUAAGCAAGAUGCACACUGACGUUGCCUAGACGCGGAGGUACUUGAAUUCUGCGCAACUCAAAGCAGGCCCAUAAGAACAAGCAGCAUACUGGGGAGGUCAGGCCAGGGCUUUCAUUCCUAGAUUUUAUGCAGGUGGCUAAAGAAACUUCUGGCUAGUUUAAUGGUGGUCGUAUACCUAUGAUAUUAUUUGAUCUGGCCCUGGUUGGGAAACUUUUAUAAUACUGGGAAGGUCAAGAGUUGAUUUGCUGUCUGUGUUCAUCUGAAUUCAGAAAGUGUGGGAUUCCUAUUUGUAGGAUGGCCUGUAUGUCCAGGGUAUUUUUGCUCUGUGAGGUCUGGGCAUCAAGUAAUGAGAUUCAUGGAAUGAUUCUAAGGAUGCCUGCCCCUUCUUGAUCCACUCACUAACUCACCUUCUCUCAGCCUGCUUUAUUUUCUAAAGGUUUGGAUUUUCACAGGAAAAUGUAAGCUUCAAUUAAAUUAAUAGGAUUUUCUGAAGUUGGGAGAAAGUUUAUCAUGAUCGACAUAGUAAUGAAAUACCCAAAUAAACAGAAUGGGCGUACGGGGUUAGGAAGUAAUAGAGCUGUAAAUCCAUAUAUACUGUGGGUGGGCUCUGGAGUUCCGUCCUGUUGGCUAUUCUUAGGGAGAAGGGCUUUCUCUUUUAACAAGUGUAUUCAUGACCCUCAUUGUGACUAUUCUGAGAUGUAAUCCACUUCUAUGGACCCGAAUUCAUUAUAUUUUAAUAAGUGAGAGUCGUAAAAUGUAGAAAUAGAUAAACAAGGGAAGAUCGAAACACCUUGGCUGUAUAGACUGUAAACUCUUGUGAUAAUCUGAUAAACAAGGGUAAAGACGACGUAAUACCACUGCUUUGGGCAAAUGCUUCUUCCUCUUUAUGCCCGGAUCACUCAUGCGUUCUGGACCAGAUUACUUCAAGAGUAAUUUCCUUUGGUCCUGUGCCCGACAGAGAUGAUUUCAUGUCACUCUUAGCAGGAUGCCAUAAUUCAGAAAAUCACAACUUUGAUCUAAGACCCUACCUGUCACUGUCAAGCAUUGCCAGUAGCGAGUGAUGGAGAUACUGUUUCACACUUCUGCUGAAAGCCUAGGGACCCUUGGCUUGCCGAAAGAAAGGAAUUUCAGGAUCACUUAGUGUGAAGCAGAGUUGGACUUUAUUAAAAGACUAUUUUUUUUUUUGUCACGGAUUCUAAGCACAGGAACUCGUGGAGAGAUGCUCAAGGAAAGAUUAAGACAUACCCACGUGCAGUGAGGAGCCCCUCAAGGGAGUGCCCUGACUGUCUUUACAGUAGCCAUAUGCACUGUGUUUGUUGGCUUCUGAAGUUACAUCUUAAAUGGUUGCUAAGCAACUCUUUAUUUUUCUGUAAAUGAGAUCAUAGGGUGGUUCCUGGUGUACCUUGAAUGGAAUUACGGUUGAUAAAGUAAAACCCUGGGUCACAAAGGUUGUUAAGAUGAUUUUAGUAUAAAUAGAAGCUUAGACUUAUAUCUUAUAUUCCCUGAUACUAUUAAGGAAUGAUGUUAGGCCCUGUUUGAAGGUAAUAUGUAAGUAAAAAUGAGGCCACCACCGCCCCUAGGUAUGCUUGAGGAGAAAGUUUUAUUGUAGAUAUGAGGGAGAGAAGAGACACAGCCUCUGGAAGGGUUCAGACUGUACCCAGCUAUGAGAGGAGAGAGGUGGGGGGAGGAGGAGAGGGAAGGGGAGGGAAAGGAGACUAAAACAAAGUGGAGAGAGGGGGGUAUGGGAACCAAGAGACCAAUAGAAUUCAAGUUAUAUAGGGAUCAAAGGUUGAGAGGAAGGGAAGCCCAGCCCCUGGGUUCAGAGGUUUAGGGUAGGGUGGUUUAGGAUAAAGUAUAGGAUGAGAAGCGCUAGCUGGAGCCAAGGUACCAAGUGAAACUUUUGCUGGGUUUCUUUGAGAUCUAACAAUAUAUGCUCAGGCCUUGACCACAGUUCAUUACUCUUUUAAUAUUCUUCUGUAUAUAGAAGGGAUAUUGUCUCUAUGUCAGUAACUUUCAUAGCUAAUGUUAGUUGUGAUCAUUCCAUUAAAAAAAAUUGAUUCUAUGUGUAGGGGUUUGUAUGUGGGAGCGUGCACAUGAGUACAGGUACCUAUCAUGUGCCCAUGUGCCCAUUCAGGCCAGAGGUACAUGAUCCCACAAUGUGCUUGAGUUAAGGGUGGUUGUGAGCAGGUCAGAAUGGGUGCUGAGAACCAAACUCAGGUUCUCCGAAAGAUCUGCAAAUAUCUUAAAACUCUGAGCCCUUACGUAGCCCCUGGUAUGGCAGUUCGAUUCUCUGUUGUAUAGUGGCUUCUUGUAGACCUCUUCCCAUCCUGUAGUCCCUAGUUUUUCUUUCCUAUCCUCCCUCACUUGUAUUGAAGGACCCUAGGGGCUUUUGACAGCCUUACACCCACUGCCUAAGGUCAAGGCUAGGCUAAGUUCCAUUCUCCACCCACAAUUCUUGGGAGGAGCAGAACAUUCUUGAAAAUCCAAAGAAUGUACUGACAGUCACCUGACCCUCUGGUUCCAUAUAGAGUUCCAAUGCAUGUCAUAUACUUGGUAGCCAAUAGAUGCAAAGGUCAAUAUGCUUAGCCAAUAAGUUUACCUUGUAACCUUGCUGAUGUAACCUGUAGACCUAAAAAGUAUAAAAAUUGCUUGCUAUAGUCAUUCUGGGUUCUAAACACUCGCCACAAGGGGCUGAUUGAGGGUCGACCCCCGAUGCACCGGAAAAAUAAACUUCUUAAAUUUGCAUGGAACUCCGUUCUCGUGUCUCACUUGAGGGGGUCUCCCGGUGGUAAGACUUACUUCAGGCCUUACAGUAUACGUUGAAUCAAGCGGUACUGUCAGACCUGUGGAGAGACUUAUUGUUUGUGGACUAUUCCUUUACAAAGAAAUAGUUAAUGAGUGGUCUUUCCAAAUUGGCUUCUUUCACAGGUGAAAAUGUUCAGGGUUUAACUGUACAGCUUGUAUCCACACUUCUAAUUAUCCUCAUGAUCAAAUACAAUUCCUUCGUGUAGACUUUCCAGAGUUCAUCUACCACUAGUGACAAGCAUUUAGACAGAGCUUUUUGGCUUAGGCGGUUGUGAGCAAUGCCUUGAGACUAAUGGUCGAACCAUUUUCAACUUUUCGAGGGCGUAUGCCCAGCAGUGGAACUCCUGGUUGUUUGGUGACUUAAUAGCCAUUGACACAUGUUAUCCAAAAUGAUCUUGUUGUUACUGAAGUCCUAGACCAGAGGACAGACUCAGGGGCAUCCCAUCAAAGUAAUUUCAGGGAAACUCCUCUCCAAAACUGAACAGAAAAUGUCAUGAAUAAAAGCACGAGGUUUUAAUUUUUGGUUCAUGUGUCAAAUCUAAAACCCAGUGGCUAGACAGAAGUGGGGGGGGGGGUGGCACAAGAUUUCUUUGGGUAUAGAAAACUCCUAACAAGAAGAUUUAAUAAAGUGUCUCACCUCUGCUGUGUUUUGGCUGAAAGUGUAUCCGGAAAGGAAGCAAGAAUAGAACUAAUUGCUCAUCAGGCGAGGAGGAACAAAUAUAAGUAGUUUGGAUACGCAUUUAAAUUAGAUUACAUUUGCUGAGAGGUUUUCUAAGUGGAGUUAAUUUGAAAGGACACACAAGUCAUUGGGUUUAAUCUGUACCUUCUGAGUAGCUGCAAUCCCUCUGCCUCCUGUUUCUGGUAAAUAAAAGUCACUCUUCAGGAGAACAUUUUACCUCCUUGUUCACAGUCUGAUCUGUGGUGGUGGCUGUGAGGUGAGUUGACAAGCGCAUGCUACCCACUCACAAGUAAGAGAAGAAACAUUGUAUGUAAGGACCCUUUUCCCCCUUGUGAUAACUUAGCCCAGGCUGUCCUAGAUCUGUGUAGCAGAGGAUGACCUUGAGUUUCUUAUACUCCUGCUUUCAUUUCUCAAGAGCUUGGCUUAUGUACCCUUUGUAGUCAAACCCAGGACGUCAUGUGUAUUGGGAAACUUUACCAACUGAGGUGUAUCUCUAGUCUGAAUAAUUUUUUUUAAUAGAUCAGAAAACAUGGGCAUUUGUACUACAAAGAAUGGAAACUUCAAAAUGUGUACAUUUUUCUCUUGCUUUCAGAAAAGUUUUAAACAUUUCUGUUGGUUCCUCUGAAUUCGUCAAAUUAUAUUUUGAUCACUUUCAAUAUUAAAAUUUAUGAGGUCUUUUGCUGCAGCUUCCUGCUGAAUACAUUACGGGAAUAAGUCUGGAUGACCUGUCAAUACUGGGAUGUGAGACUGGUUAGGAAGGAAUCAGGUUUGUUGAAGGCGCAGACUGUUAGAAGGUAGGGCUGAACCUUAGAGCUUGGUCAGGGGCACAGGGGGCUUACACUUAGAGAGGGAAAGAAAGCGUAACAUUUGAGUACGUGCUGUACAGUGUCUGUCAUCCAGGUCUGUGUCUCUUACCUGACUGGAACACAGGACUGAACUGUAAUUUUCAGAAGCUGGUUCUUGCUUUAAAAAUUCAUUUUAUUGAGACAGGUUGUUAUAUAUCCCACACUAGUCAGGAAUUCCUUAGAUGGCCAGGAAUGAUUCUUGCUGCUUCUCCCGGGUCUGGGUUACAAGUGUACACCUAGGGCUCCUUAGAUUGUUUUUCUGUGAACAUAGCUUUACAGUAAUGUACAGAAUUAACACUAUAGGAGGGCUUAUCCAGAGGUCAUCAUGUGUCCAGGGUUCUGGAAAUUUGAGCAGAAUUUUUUUUUUUGAUUGUCUAUUUAUUCAUUUGUUUUGGGAUGGGAUCUGCUAGUGUCAGAUUAGCAAUCUUCUUGCCUCAGCCUCUAGAGUGUUGGGAUUUUUAAGGAAAGACUCUUCAGCCAUUUUAGAUGGGGCUUCUCUUAAGAAUUUAGAAUGUUGGCUAAAGGGAGGGAGAGAAGAACAAGAGAAGGAAAGGAAAGGACUGCUGCAAAGCAGUGACCUGUGACAUAGAUGGGUGAUGCCAAAACAGUGGAGUCAGGGGAAAACUGGGUGAUUUAACAAACUCCUCCAAAAAUCAUUCCCAGUGGAUUGUGUGAAAAGAAGAUGGAAAUAAGGAGUCAAGUAAGCACACUGUUUUAAGCAUUUGUGGAAAAUUAAGGAUUUAGGGAAAAUCUCAUGCUUUCUCUACAACUGUCUCGGAGGCCAGCAUUUAGCAUUAGAUUACAAGCAAGCAGCAUUAGGCCAGCCCACUACACUUGUGUGUCCCUGUUUAUAUGCGAUGCCAUGUCUCUUCCCAGGUGCUUUUCCUUUCAGACUUGGCCUUGCCUCAUCACAACUACGCUGUAAACGUAAGGCAAGCAUGCAGACCUGCCUUUUGGUUAUUGAGAGACCGAGAUAGCCUGACCUGUUAGUCUUCAGCGGGUUGCUUCUGGAAUAACUGGGAGGCCGUUUUCCUUUGUGUAUCCUUCAAACUGUUCAUCAGCUCCUCCACUCCUACCAUUAUGAUGAGUCUCCUGAUGAAUUAUGCAGCGGCAGUUGACUUAAGACAGAAAAAAGAAAAAAAUCAAUGGACUUUGACUUAAGCAGUAUUCUCACCCCGAAACAUACUACUUCUUGUGUGCUUCUCAAAAUUUUCCCCUGAAGUUGUUCGGGAAGACUGAUUUAAAUACCAGUGUGAAAGCUUAUGUAAUUCUGCUGCUUGAAGAAUACAUGAUUUAUUAAGCUGUGGAAUAGACGAAUAGUUUUAAAGAAAAAAAAAUUAGCUUCAAAGGGAUCAAAAAAAAUGCCAGUCCCCACCACAUUUCUUUAGGGGUGUCAGUUAAAUCCACUGUAAAAAACUCAGUGGAGUUUGACCAGCAGACUGCUGCGUCCUGUGACUGCCAUUGAAUUUGUUCCACCUUAAGUCAACUCAUGUGUUCCACCUUAAGUCAACUCUUGUGUUCCACCUUAACUCAACUCAUGUGUUCCACCUUAAGUCAACUCAUGUGUUCCACCUUAAGUCAACUCAUGUGUUCCACCUUAACUCAACUCAUGUCUUCCACCUUAACUCAUUCUAAGUCUGCAGGAUUUUUUUUUUCCACAGCAAAUUCUUUCUCUUUGUUUCUUCUAGGGCCUACCAUAGAGCUCUACACCUAGUGGAUGCUCACUACACAUUCUGGAUGAAUAAAUAAAUUAAUGACUGGAAAUUCACUUGCUCAUCAUCUGAUUGUUGUGAAAAAAAGGAACAGAACUGCAGAAUUAAAAAGAAAAAAAAUUAAGCGAUGAUUAUUCUAUGUUGGUUCAUAAAAUUUGGUGCUGGAGAAGUUGGAGGCCAGAGAUCUGACAAACUCUUCUGUCUUCUGGAGUCACAUGCAGUUCUCCAUCCACCUGGACAAAUACCUGUAGACAUAAAAAUAAAAAAAAAAUUAAAAGGAAUCCUCAUGAUCUUACGAUUCUGUCAAGCCAUAGACUGAUCUGGUACUUUUAAAAUAGAAGCAAAUUUAAAAUAGGACAUACCAAUUAUGCCAGUUGUUAUAACUGAAGAAAAUCAAAAUUGUUGUGUGGGAUAUUUGAAGAUGAUGGAUAGUCAGUUUCCAGAUUUCCAUUCCAUCAUCAAUCCUUGGGUAUUUUGCUGGUAGCACUGACAACAAUUUUGUUUCUUGCGGGAAGCAGUAUCAAUUUUUUACUUUUCUUGGGAAAAUAAUGAGUGACUUCUUGACCUUUGGACAAUCUCUCUGAGUAGAGGGAGAACCUCUCUGCUCCUGGUGUGCUGGAGAUGGGGCAUGCUAACCAGAGACCAUCAUGAAGUCAUGGGAUAGGCAGAUGAUUGUUCGAUGAUCUCCUCCAGUUUUUGAGAGCUUUUCCUAUUCAUAACUGAAAAUUUAAGACUGUUCUCUUCCAACUGUAAAA
Rattus norvegicus (Norway rat) is the source of this 23911-nucleotide non-coding RNA. NCBI's taxonomy places the organism in Eukaryota, Metazoa, Chordata, Mammalia, Rodentia, Muridae. The record is from RefSeq and is a predicted model, not a curated record.